UACGUAGGGUGCAAGCGUUAAUCGGAAUUACUGGGCGUAAAGCGUGCGCAGGCGGUGAUGUAAGACAGUUGUGAAAUCCCCGGGCUCAACCUGGGAACUGCAUCUGUGACUGCAUUGCUGGAGUGCGGCAGAGGGGGAUGGAAUUCCGCGUGUAGCAGUGAAAUGCGUAGAUAUGCGGAGGAACACCGAUGGCGAAGGCAAUCCCGUGGGCCUACACUGACGCUAAUGCACGAAAGCGUGGGGAGCAAGCAGG
Molecule: ribosomal RNA, 253 nt
Filed under: uncultured bacterium
Lineage: Bacteria
Description: partial 16S ribosomal RNA
Rfam family: Bacterial small subunit ribosomal RNA
Source: RNAcentral